GCGUUAAUCGCUUGCAUCGAACGACUGCCGUCGUCGCCUCGAGAAGUCAUAUCCCUCGGGCGUGUCAUACUCGAGCAACGCCGGCGUCUGUGAGGAAUGC
This 100-nucleotide unclassified non-coding RNA is filed under the name Glionnetia sericea. Its description in RNAcentral is "partial external transcribed spacer". Lineage: Eukaryota; Viridiplantae; Streptophyta; Magnoliopsida; Gentianales; Rubiaceae. The record is from RNAcentral.